This 453-nucleotide ribosomal RNA is filed under the name uncultured bacterium. RNAcentral describes it as "bacterial SSU rRNA". It matches the Rfam family "Bacterial small subunit ribosomal RNA", at positions 340 to 786 of the family's 1533-position model. The record is from RNAcentral.
UACGGGAGGCAGCAGGGGGGAAUAUUGCACAAUGGGCGCAAGCCUGAUGCAGCCAUGCCGCGUGUAUGAAGAAGGCCUUCGGGUUGUAAAGUACUUUCAGUCGUGAGGAAGGUGUUAAGGUUAAUAACCUUAGCAAUUGACGUUAGCGACAGAAGAAGCACCGGCUAACUCCGUGCCAGCAGCCGCGGUAAUACGGAGGGUGCGAGCGUUAAUCGGAAUUACUGGGCGUAAAGGGCACGCAGGCGGUUAAUUAAGUUGGAUGUGAAAUCCCCGGGCUUAACCUGGGAAUGGCAUUCAAGACUGGUUAGCUAGAGUCUUGUAGAGGGGGUAGAAUUCCAUGUGUAGCGGUGAAAUGCGUAGAGAUGUGGAGGAAUACCGGUGGCGAAGGCGGCCCCUGGACAAAGACUGACGCUCAUGUGCGAAAGCGUGGGGAGCAAACAGGGAUUAGAUACC